CCUACGGGAGGCAGCAGUGAGGAAUAUUGGUCAAUGGACGAGAGUCUGAACCAGCCAAGUAGCGUGAAGGAUGACUGCCCUAUGGGUUGUAAACUUCUUUUAUAUGGGAAUAAAAUGUUCCACGUGUGGGAUUUUGUAUGUACCAUAUGAAUAAGGAUCGGCUAACUCCGUGCCAGCAGCCGCGGUAAUAAGGAGGAUCCGAGCGUUGGCCGGAUUUAUUGGGUUUAAAGGGAGCGUAGGUGGAUUGUUAAGGCAGUUGUGAAAGUUUGCGGCUCAACCGUAAAAUUGCAGUUGAAACUGGCAGUCUUGAGUACAGUAGAGGUGGGCGGAAUUCGUGGUGUAGCGGUGAAAUGCUUAGAUAUCACGAAGAACUCCGAUUGCGAAGGCAGUUCACUGGACUGCAACUGACACUGAGGCUCGAAAGUGUGGGUAUCAAACAGGAUUAGAUACCCCGGUAGUC
This 460-nucleotide ribosomal RNA is filed under the name uncultured bacterium. RNAcentral's name for it is "partial 16S ribosomal RNA". It matches the Rfam family "Bacterial small subunit ribosomal RNA", at positions 338 to 795 of the family's 1533-position model. The record is from RNAcentral.